CUCAAAAUACAAGUGUAUACCCUAGAAAAUUUUAGAGCCUCAUUCUCUGUCACUCGCGCCGAAUGUUUCCCCAAAUUUUCUUCUGCUAAUCAGCCACUUCUCCUCUCAUCUAACCCUUGCUUUUGUUCCUUUCAGCUCUGCAUACUUUGUUGCCGGUAAGUAUUCCUUUCUACUUCUUUUCUUUCGGAAUUUUCCGCGCACCUUCGUGUUUUUAUUUUUUGUUUUUGGUUCAUCUUGUUCUCUCAUCUAUCAGAGAAUUUCUCUGCUUCUUCUUGUUUGUGUUUGAAAGAAUUUAUUUGUACAUUGACUUUUUUGCGUGAAGACGAGGAAAUUAGGGUUUUGGUUUAUUUAAGUAAUAUCUCUUGUUGGUUCAGCUCAUCAAGCUAUUACAAAAGAGUCCAGCGGAGACAAAGAUAGUUGCAGGCAUCCUCUUUCUUAUUCUAGGGGUUUCCCUUAAUUUUCCAAUAAUUUUUAUCUUUGCGUUACUGAUCCUUAUGACUUCGAACCAAACCAGUCCUUAUUGUGUUUGGUUUGUUAAGAUUAAGAAGUACAAAAGCUAAUGUCAUGCCUAAAGGAUUUGAAAAUUGUAAUUUUAGAUUUUGUUUUAAAAAUUUAUGAGAAAUUUGUCAUGCUUAAUUUAUCUAGACCAGUGUUUUGGAGAGCGCAAAGCGCAAAAAAGCGACAAGGGCUCGCCUCGUUUCAAAGCGCAAAGCGCAAAGAAACGCACGCUUUUUUGAAGUGAAGCGCAAUUUUUAAAAAACAUAAUGUAAAAUUAUGAAUAAUCAAAAACAUCAAUUUAAAUACUUUAAAGUAGGUACUACUCGUUUCAAAGCGCAAAAGCGCUCGCUUUUUUGAAGUGAAGCGCAAUUUUUAGAAAAAACAUAAUGUAAAAUUAUGAAUAAUCAAAUUAGGUACUAGGUACCACCAAAUCAUCCACAAACCAUCCAUAAACUAUAAGACAAGCAAAUCUUCUUCUCCUUCCAAAUUUUCAAAAUCUUGAAUUCCUCGGUUAUCUUCAUAUUGCUCGUCAUCUUCUUCUUCCCCCUCUUCAUAAUCAUUCUCAUCUUCAUCAAUGGAUAGACUUCUAGUAACCACACUUUUUCCCUUCCUAAUUGAACUUGAACUUGGAGUACAACUCCUUAAACUAUAAGGAUCCUCCCCAACUCCACUAGCAACCGCAACNNNNNN
RNAcentral lists this long non-coding RNA (1188 nucleotides) under Nicotiana benthamiana. RNAcentral's name for it is "long non-coding RNA (NBEN_LNC005296)". Lineage: Eukaryota; Viridiplantae; Streptophyta; Magnoliopsida; Solanales; Solanaceae. The record is from RNAcentral.